CGAGAAAGUACAGAAAAAACAAGGCGCACUUAAAAUCCUUUAAUUUUCCCCAAAAUCGUCAGUGCACCUUUAAAUCCAGUGCGCCUAAACUAUGAAUUUUACCAGUCAGGUUGGAAGGAGCAAUAAAGCCACUCUGCUGAAGUACAGCGUUAUACAGGAGUUUCAGUUCAGUUCUUCAACACCAGGACUGGAGCAGCAUUAGCGUUAGCCACUAACCGCUAUUUUACCAUUUAGAGGCCACCCACCAGAACAAGUCACGACAGCGUCCGGCCUCAAUUAUGGCAUUGUCAGGGCCAGCUGAAGUAUUUGCACACCGGCGGUGGAGAAGUGGCGCGGCAGGUUCGUCCGAGCCGGAGCUGACCCCGACCACGGACUUCACGAUGGCCCUCUUAUUGCAGUCCAUUUACAGACUGCGUUUACUUCAUAGCUGUGGAGCAGAGGGGGGAGAGAGAAUGAUUGGAGACACAGCAGGGGCAGGCGAGGAAGGCAAUGGAAGAGAGAACAAGACAAUAACGGCUGAUUUCUCUAUGAUGGGACGAAACCGAUGAAGCAAAACCAUUAAAACAGAAGAUUCAUUCAACGGCAAAUUGAAAUCGACAAGUGGCUCCUUUUAAAUACGAAAUAUAAACAGACAACGAAUGAAUAAAAUAAUUGAAUGUGAAAAAGAAAAGCA
This 673-nucleotide long non-coding RNA is filed under the name Astyanax mexicanus (Mexican tetra). RNAcentral describes it as "lncRNA (ENSAMXG00005011841.1)". The record is from RNAcentral. Lineage: Eukaryota; Metazoa; Chordata; Actinopteri; Characiformes; Acestrorhamphidae.